RNAcentral lists this ribosomal RNA (497 nucleotides) under uncultured bacterium. RNAcentral describes it as "bacterial SSU rRNA". It matches the Rfam family "Bacterial small subunit ribosomal RNA", at positions 903 to 1397 of the family's 1533-position model. The record is from RNAcentral.
AAAUGAAUUGACGGGGACCCGCACAAGCAGCGGAGCAUGUGGUUUAAUUCGAAGAUACCCGAAAAACCUUACCAAGGCUUGACAUAUCGGCGCAUAGCGGCGAAAUCCGCGAAGAAGUAGCAAUAUUUCGUCGAUACAGAUGGUGCAUGGUUGUCGUCAGCUCGUGUCGUGAGAUGUUCGGUUAAGUCCGAUAACGAGCGCAACCCUUGUCGUUAGUUGCCAUCAUUCAGUUGGGAACCCUAGCGAGACCGCCGUAGAUAAUACGGAGGAAGGUGGGGAUGACGUCAAAUCAUCAUGCCUCUUACGCCUUGGGCUACACACGUGCUACAAUGGCCACUACAAAGAGCCGCAAUAUAGUAAUAUGGAGCAAAUCUCAAAAAAGUGGUCUUAAUUCGGAUUGAGGGCUGCAACCCGCCCUCAUGAAAUCGGAGUUGCUAGUAAUCCCAAAUCAGCAUGUUGGGGUGAAUGCGUUCCCGGGUCUUGUACACACCGCCCGU